GGAAGGUUCUUAGGUCGGUAGGUCCUCAGGACGGAAAGACCUCAGGACGGAAGGUUCUUAGGUCGGUAGGUCCUCAGGACGGAAAGACCUCAGGACGGAAGGUUCUUAGGUCGGUAGGUCCUCAGGACGGAAAGACCUCAGGUCGGAAGGUCCGCAAGACGGAAAGACCUCAAGUCGGAAGGUCUUCAGGUCGGGAGGUCCGCAAGACGGAAAGACCUCAAGUCGGAAGGUCUUCAGGUCGGGAGGUCCGCAAGACGGAAAGACGAUGAGUCGGAAGGUUUUCAAGUCGGGAGGUCCUCGAGACGGAAAGUCGUCGAGAUGGGAUAUCCGCAGGUCGGGUAAACUGUAGGUCGGAUAGAAGGAGGAGUCGGACAAACGCGGAGGCCUUUGAUCAAAGACAGGGGGCGGUUGAUAUGGAGGUCGGCCCAAGUGGGGUCGGGCGAAGAAGUAGGUCGGACGAAGGACGAAGUCGGGCCAAAAGAGCGGAAGGUCUGUGGUCGGCUCAAGGAGUGAAAUAUAGGGAAUUUUGGUCUGCUGGGGACACGUGUCAGCAUGAGAAAGGUUGGAAGACGGUUGAGAAGGAGACGUUGUAACCGUUCGGGUGACGGUUUUCAGUACGGUUUCCCAGGGAAUAUUUAAGGAUUUGGAUCAUCAUUUG
Andrographis paniculata is the source of this 658-nucleotide long non-coding RNA. RefSeq lists it as uncharacterized. The transcript has 4 exons. The record is from RefSeq and is a predicted model, not a curated record. NCBI's taxonomy places the organism in Eukaryota, Viridiplantae, Streptophyta, Magnoliopsida, Lamiales, Acanthaceae.